This 1869-nucleotide ribosomal RNA is filed under the name Triticum aestivum (bread wheat). Its description in RNAcentral is "partial small subunit ribosomal RNA". The record is from RNAcentral. Lineage: Eukaryota; Viridiplantae; Streptophyta; Magnoliopsida; Poales; Poaceae.
GUUUCUUUUCCCCAUCUACGCGCGGGACCUGGGUGUGCCGUCACCCGCAUCCCAUGCUUUCCCUCCAUCCGAACGGAAUGUGCAUAGUGCCGCGAGCGGAAAGAGGGAGGGAGUGGGCUGAACUGAGCAGCGGCCGAAAGGGGCGGUCUAGAGCGAAAGGGGGGUUGGGGGUGGAUUGGCGGCCGCCGGCGGUACUACCGGCGGCUCAGGGGCCGCUGCCACUUGGUGGGGCGGCUGGUUGUGGAGCUCUGGGAGCGGGAGCUAAGAAGUAGACGGCGUAGCCGGCGACGAAGAUGGCUGGGAGACGAGGUGGGAGGAGGGAGGGGAAGCGGGGGGAGGCGAGCGCGGCGUCGGCGCUUGCCGCUGGGCAAGCAGCUUCUCUUGCCGCUCCUACUUAGGGGAGGCUAGGAGGGGUGGGGGCUGAGGGGCCAGCAAAGGGCGCUCGGCAGUGGCAACAGGAUGGUCUAGUGGCAAUGGCUGGGGUUCUUCGUGCUACUCCGGCGGUGGCCUCGCCGCCCGCAGUAGGGACCGAGGCCGUCGAUGAAGAGGAUGGAGCAGUGGUGGGCCUGGCGGCUGCCGUCGCUCAAGGCGCACGCCGCCGCGAAGGCGCUGCACCACUGGGAGCGGCUGGCGGAGCGCCGGUGGGUGGCGCCGGAGAAGCAGGGCCGCGCGGGGCUGUUCUCGUAGCACCUUCCCGUCCAGUACGUCGCCGUACUUAAGCACUUGGUCGCGACGCAGCGCCAGGUCGCGAUGGAGACGGCGUAGCGGCGCGUGGGGUGGCAACGGGCCUCGCUACUGAAGGCAUGGAAGGAGUGACUAGGAUCGCCAUAGGGCUGGAGGCUCCCGCUCAGCGGGUCCAAGUUGGGGAGCUAAUGACGGCGGAGCGGCUGCCGACAAUGGUGUGGUUGCUGCGGAUGUUUCCCGCCCGCUCUGAAAAAACCAUACAAGUUCCUGGACUUCGUCUGCCAACGCUUACCCAACUACCGCCACUCCGGCGGAGGUCACCUCCUCCUCUGACUGCGUUUCAAGGAGAAGGUGUUCCGGUUCGAGCUCGUUGACCUCGUCGUUGAGCGUCGCUGUAGAGUCGUCCGUCUCCGCAAACGAUUUCGAGUACUCCUAAAAUCUUGUUGAUGUCGAGUGAACCCUUACUGUAAGCAAUUCGACCGUUUCAAACUUUUCCUGGUUAGAUGUACGUCAAGAGUGUCUUGAGCUCGAUAAUUAUAAUUGUUAAAACGUUUACGACAACAGUUUCAGUCGUCCAGAGUCUGUUUUGACCUACGACUUUAACACUUUGUAGACCUGUGAUAGGUAUUUAUGGACCUCUGCUACUGAAGACAAGUGUUACGUAAAUGACUAGCGAGAUUACGAAACGAAGUAUAGGUUUCAGAUAGUAGACUGAAUAAACGAAACGUGUUGGCCCACCGCUUUGAACUUAGACACAGUAGUUCUCCUUAUCUAGUCCUCUCCUGCUCCAUAGUCUUCCAACUUCUUGACUUUCUUUGUUAUUCUUGUAGUCUUCUGCGCUUUUCAGUACGUGCGUUUCUCAUACUUGAAUAGUUCCUUUUGUUGUACUUACUUUAAUUCUCUAAAUUAUUUCUCUAUGCGGUCCUAAACCACCUCUACUACUUUCCGAAACAUUGUUCAGUCCAACUUGUCAGUCUAUUAUAACGAUCAUAUACCCGUUUCAAUCGUCUUCUGUGUUUUCCUAUACGUCUUUCCGCGUCGACUUCAUCCUACAUUUAUAUCUAUGUCAAAGGUGAGGAGUUCCCCGUGGCGUGGCCCAGUUCCUAAAAGAACCUACAUCGAUAGAGGCCUACACAUGGACUUUUAAACAGUCCUUUCUUUCUUGUUUAGGAACUAGCGUUUUGG